This 484-nucleotide ribosomal RNA is filed under the name uncultured bacterium. RNAcentral describes it as "partial 16S ribosomal RNA". It matches the Rfam family "Bacterial small subunit ribosomal RNA", at positions 30 to 507 of the family's 1533-position model. The record is from RNAcentral.
AUUGAACGCUGGCGGCAGGCCUAACACAUGCCAGUCGAGCGGAUGAAGGGAGCUUGCUCCUGGAUUCAGCGGCGGACGGGUGAGUAAUGCCUAGGAAUCUGCCUGGUAGUGGGGGAUAACGUCCGUAAACGGGCGCUAAUACCGCAUACGUCCAGAUGGAGAAAGUGGGGGAUCUUCGGACCUCACGCUAUCAGAUGAGCCUAGGUCGGAUUAGCUAGUUGGUAGGGUAAAGGCCUACCAAGGCGACGAUCCGUAACUGGGCUGAGAGGAUGAUCAGUCACACUGGAACUGAGACACGGUCCAGACUCCUACGGGAGGCAGCAGUAGGGAAUAUUGGACAAUGGGCGAAAGCCUGAUCCAGCCAUGCCGCGUGUGUGAAGAAGGUCUUCGGAUUGUAAAGCACUUUAAGUUGGGAGGAAGGGCAGUAAGUUAAUACCUUGCUGUUUUGACGUUACCAACAGAAUAAGCACCGGCUAACUUCGUG